AAGACUAUACUUUCAGGGGUCAUUUCUACAGUUCUUCACAAACAAGUAAAAAUACAGGGAAGGUUUUGGAGCAACAACAGAGAAACUGU
RNAcentral lists this small nucleolar RNA (89 nucleotides) under Erinaceus europaeus (western European hedgehog). RNAcentral's name for it is "Small nucleolar RNA U3 (ENSEEUG00000023645.1)". Lineage: Eukaryota; Metazoa; Chordata; Mammalia; Eulipotyphla; Erinaceidae. The record is from RNAcentral.